Molecule: ribosomal RNA, 494 nt
Filed under: uncultured bacterium
Lineage: Bacteria
Description: partial 16S ribosomal RNA
Rfam family: Bacterial small subunit ribosomal RNA
Source: RNAcentral
GACGAACGCUGGCGGCGUGCUUAACACAUGCAAGUCGAACGGAAAGGCCUGCUUUCCCCUGUGGAUUGCGGGUACUCGAGUGGCGAACGGGUGAGUAACACGUGAGUGAUCUGCCCCCAACUUGGGUAUAAGCCUGGGAAACUGGGUCUAAUUCCCGGUAGGACUGCAGGGUGGUGCCUGUGGUGGAAAACGAUUUUCUAGUGGUUGGGGAUGAGCUCGCGGCCUAUCAGCUUGUUGGUGGGGUAAUGGCCUACCAAGGCGGCGACGGGUAGCCGGCCUGAGAGGGUGGACGGCCACAUUGGGACUGAGAUACGGCCCAGACUCCUACGGGAGGCAGCAGUGGGGAAUAUUACACAAUGGGCGGAAGCCUGAUGCAGCGACGCCGCGUGGGGGAUGACGGCCUUCGGGUUGUAAACUCCUUUCGACCGCGAGGAAGCCACCUGGUUGGAAGGGUGGUGACGGUAGUGGUAGAAGAAGCACCGGCUAACUACGUG